AUUGAACGCUGGCGGCAGGCCUAACACAUGCAAGUCGAACGGUAACAGGAAGAAGCUUGCUUCUUUGCUGACGAGUGGCGGACGGGUGAGUAAUGUCUGGGAAACUGCCUGAUGGAGGGGGAUAACUACUGGAAACGGUAGCUAAUACCGCAUAACGUCGCAAGACCAAAGAGGGGGACCUUCGGGCCUCUUGCCAUCGGAUGUGCCCAGAUGGGAUUAGCUAGUAGGUGGGGUAAUGGCUCACCUAGGCGACGAUCCCUAGCUGGUCUGAGAGGAUGACCAGCCACACUGGAACUGAGACACGGUCCAGACUCCUACGGGAGGCAGCAGUGGGGAAUAUUGCACAAUGGGCGCAAGCCUGAUGCAGCCAUGCCGCGUGUAUGAAGAAGGCCUUCGGGUUGUAAAGUACUUUCAGCGGGGAGGAAGGGAGUAAAGUUAAUACCUUUGCUCAUUGACGUUACCCGCAGAAGAAGCACCGGCUAACUCCGUG
RNAcentral lists this ribosomal RNA (490 nucleotides) under uncultured bacterium. Its description in RNAcentral is "partial 16S ribosomal RNA". It matches the Rfam family "Bacterial small subunit ribosomal RNA", at positions 30 to 507 of the family's 1533-position model. The record is from RNAcentral.